AUGCAGUCGAACGGUAACAGGUCUUCGGAUGCUGACGAGUGGCGAACGGGUGAGUAAUGUAUCGGAACGUGCCCAGUAGUGGGGGAUAACUACUCGAAAGAGUGGCUAAUACCGCAUGAGAACUGAGGUUGAAAGCGGGGGACCUUCGGGCCUCGCGCUACUGGAGCGGCCGAUAUCAGAUUGGGUAGUUGGUGGGGUAAAGGCCUACCAAGCCGACGAUCUGUAGCUGGUCUGAGAGGACGACCAGCCACACUGGGACUGAGACACGGCCCAGACUCCUACGGGAGGCAGCAGUGGGGAAUUUUGGACAAUGGACGCAAGUCUGAUCCAGCAAUGCCGCGUGCAGGACGAAGGCCUUCGGGUUGUAAACUGCUUUUGUACAGAACGAAAAGGCUCUGGUUAAUACCUGGGGCUCAUGACGGUACUGUAA
Molecule: ribosomal RNA, 430 nt
Filed under: bacterium YGBT
Lineage: Bacteria
Description: bacterial SSU rRNA
Rfam family: Bacterial small subunit ribosomal RNA
Source: RNAcentral